UACGGAGGGUGCAAGCGUUGUCCGGAAUCAUUGGGCGUUAAGCGUUCGUAGGCUGUAUAUCAAGUCUGGUGUUAAAGCCCGGGGCUCAACUCCGGUUCGGCACUGGAUACUGGUAAACUGGAAUGCGGUAGAGGUUAGGGGAAUUCCUGGUGUAGCGGUGAAAUGCGUAGAUAUCAGGAGGUACUUCGGUGGCGUAAGCGCUUAACUGGGCCGUAAUUGACGCUGAGGAACGAAAGCCGGGGGAGCAAAU
RNAcentral lists this ribosomal RNA (250 nucleotides) under uncultured prokaryote. Its description in RNAcentral is "partial 16S ribosomal RNA". It matches the Rfam family "Bacterial small subunit ribosomal RNA", at positions 524 to 773 of the family's 1533-position model. The record is from RNAcentral.